This 547-nucleotide ribosomal RNA is filed under the name uncultured bacterium. RNAcentral's name for it is "bacterial SSU rRNA". It matches the Rfam family "Bacterial small subunit ribosomal RNA", at positions 355 to 896 of the family's 1533-position model. The record is from RNAcentral.
UGGGGAAUAUUGCGCAAUGGGGGGAACCCUGACGCAGCCAUGCCGCGUGAAUGAAGAAGGCCUUCGGGUUGUAAAGUUCUUUCGGUAUUGAGGAAGGUUGAUGUGUUAAUAGUACAUCAAAUUGACGUUAAAUACAGAAGAAGCACCGGCUAACUCCGUGCCAGCAGCCGCGGUAAUACGGAGGGUGCGAGCGUUAAUCGGAAUAACUGGGCGUAAAGGGCACGCAGGCGGUUAUUUAAGUGAGGUGUGAAAGCCCCGGGCUUAACCUGGGAAUUGCAUUUCAGACUGGGUAACUAGAGUACUUUAGGGAGGGGUAGAAUUCCACGUGUAGCGGUGAAAUGCGUAGAGAUGUGGAGGAAUACCGAAGGCGAAGGCAGCCCCUUGGGAGUGUACUGACGCUCAUGUGCGAAAGCGUGGGGAGCAAACAGGAUUAGAUACCCUGGUAGUCCACGCUGUAAACGCUGUCGAUUUGGGGAUUGGGCUUAAAGCUUGGUGCCCGUAGCUAACGUGAUAAAUCGACCGCCUGGGGAGUACGGCCGCAAGGUUA